RNAcentral lists this ribosomal RNA (221 nucleotides) under uncultured bacterium. Its description in RNAcentral is "partial 16S ribosomal RNA". It matches the Rfam family "Bacterial small subunit ribosomal RNA", at positions 109 to 334 of the family's 1533-position model. The record is from RNAcentral.
AGUAAUAUAUCGGAACGUACCCUAGAGUGGGGAUAACGUAGCGAAAGUUACGCUAAUACCGCAUACGAUCUACGGAUGAAAGUGGGGGCUCGCAAGACCUCACGCUCCUGGAGCGGCCGAUAUCUGAUUAGCUAGUUGGUAGGGUAAAAGCCUACCAAGGCAUCGAUCAGUAGCUGGUCUGAGAGGACGACCAGCCACACUGGAACUGAGACACGGCCCAG